Molecule: transfer RNA, 74 nt
Filed under: bacterium
Lineage: Bacteria
Description: tRNA-Trp
Rfam family: tRNA
About the family: Transfer RNA (tRNA) molecules are approximately 80 nucleotides in length. Their secondary structure includes four short double-helical elements and three loops (D, anti-codon, and T loops).
Source: RNAcentral
AGGAGUGUAGUUAAAUGGUAUAAUAAUGGUCUCCAAAACCACUGUUGGGAGUUCGAUUCUCUCCACUCCUGCCA